UGAGUUGGUGGCUAGGGUUCCGGCGCUUUGAAAAGCGUGCUGGUCCGAGAGCUGCCGCCGGUUGGGGGAGAAAUCCCACCGGAUGCACGGCGGGACAAAAGCCCGGGAGAC
RNAcentral lists this small RNA (111 nucleotides) under Agrobacterium radiobacter. RNAcentral describes it as "Guanidine-I sequence". It matches the Rfam family "Guanidine-I riboswitch aptamer". From Rfam's summary of the family: This family represents a conserved RNA structure found upstream of the ykkC and yxkD genes in Bacillus subtilis and related genes in other bacteria. Lineage: Bacteria; Pseudomonadati; Pseudomonadota; Alphaproteobacteria; Hyphomicrobiales; Rhizobiaceae. The record is from RNAcentral.